CUCUUUUCUCUUUUAAAAAUGUAUUUAGCUUUAUGAAAAAUCUACUGCAAAGUUAUAAUGGCGGCUUCAAGGUUCUGAUAGGUUAUUGCAACUUCUCUUGUUUCUCCAGAGUGUUUUUCAGGAAAUAUUCAAGAAAAACCAGUUUGCCAUGGUACGACUUUUGCGUACCUCUCAGGAGAAUAGACUACAUUCUAUUGCUAUGAAACUACAAUAAAGAGACCCUUUACAUGUUUUUACAUUGUUUAAAGUUGUUUUUAAAUUUUUCCUGUUGCUGGUUUUUUAGUUAUAACAAUUUACAUUCAGCCA
Long non-coding RNA from Amphimedon queenslandica, 306 nucleotides. RefSeq lists it as uncharacterized. The record is from RefSeq and is a predicted model, not a curated record. Lineage: Eukaryota; Metazoa; Porifera; Demospongiae; Haplosclerida; Niphatidae. The transcript has 2 exons.